AACGAACGCUGGCGGCAUGCCUAACACAUGCAAGUCGAACGAGACCUUCGGGUCUAGUGGCGCACGGGUGCGUAACGCGUGGGAACCUGCCCUUAGGUUCGGAAUAACUCCCCGAAGGGGGUGCUAAUACCGGGUAAUUUCUUCGGACCAAAGAUUUAUCGCCCUUGGAUGGGCCGGGGUUGGUUUAGCUAGUGGGGAGGGUAAAAGCCCACCUAGGCUACGAUCCGUAGCUGGUCUGAGAGGAUGCUCGGCCACACUGGAACUGAGACACGGUCCAGACUCCUAAGGGAGGCAGCAGUGGGGAAUAUUGGACAAUGGGCGCAAGCCUGAUCCAGCCAUACAGCGUGGGUGAAGAAGGCCUUCGGGUUGUAAAGCCCUUUUGUUGGGAAAGAAAAGCAGCAGGUUAAUACCCCGCUGGUCUGACGGUACCCAAAGAAUAAGCACCGGCUAACUUCGUG
This 458-nucleotide ribosomal RNA is filed under the name uncultured bacterium. RNAcentral's name for it is "partial 16S ribosomal RNA". It matches the Rfam family "Bacterial small subunit ribosomal RNA", at positions 29 to 507 of the family's 1533-position model. The record is from RNAcentral.